This 1907-nucleotide long non-coding RNA is filed under the name Anser brachyrhynchus (Pink-footed goose). RNAcentral's name for it is "lncRNA (ENSABRG00000022103.1)". The record is from RNAcentral. Lineage: Eukaryota; Metazoa; Chordata; Aves; Anseriformes; Anatidae.
CAUUUAUUACUGCGCAGUGCACUUCCAACAGCACUAAUCUGUAUGGAUGGGAAAUCCAGAAGAGGAAGGUGCUUUCAGAGAUGAUAUUAAUGACUGUGACAUUUAUUCUUCUUCAGACCUCUGAUAGGAUUUGACAGACUGUUCUUGCUUUAAUGGUGACUCAGUACUGCGCUGUUUUUGUGGCUCCUUGUAGCAGUUGGUAUACCAACUGGCUAGGCACGUGCCUGAAGCAAUAGAGCAGACACGGAGCACACAAGCCCCAGGUCAUUUGGGGGCAGGUUUCUAAAGGUUUCCAUUGAUUGAAAUGGGAGUCAGGCACCUGAGGACAUAGAAGAAAAAAAAUCCAGUCCUUGCUUCUCGGUGUGCCAACCACAUAGAGCAAACACUUAUUUUCCCUGAAUCCUGAAAGAACAAGACAAGCUCUGUGGAUAAAGUAAUGCUAGGGAUGUGUUUGGAACAAAAAUCAUUUAAAACUGGCAUUUGAGCCACUGCUGGCAAUGGCCAUCUAAUUGAAGGGACCUCAUUUGUUACACAAGCCACACAGGAGCUCAUUGCAACAGACUGUAAACUAAUUACUAACCUCGUUUAAAAAUUAGGGGAAUAAUUAGGGCUUUGUUUUAUUUUGGAUGCCUCUACCUUUGUGUGCCCAGUUUGAGAGGGAUUGCCAUGAGAAGGACAGAAGAUUGAGGGGGAAGCAGAGUCUUGGACAGAGUAAUUUGUCCUUAAAACUACAGACACGCUGCCGUUUAGUGUGAAAGGAUCUUGCCAAAGCCAUAGAUAAUAGGAGCAGGAAUCCACAGAAGCUUGGUUUGAAUUUUUUUUUUAUAUUUUUUUUCCCCUAAAUCAACUAAGUCUUCAACAGGAUGGUUAGGGAUCCCCGCAUGGCUUUCCUCUUGGAAUUAAGAAUGAAGGAAGCAGAGUGUUUUUCAUGGAUACUGGAGUGCUGCAUCCAGCUCUGGGGUCCCCAGCACAAGAAGGACCUGUUAAAGCAAGUCCAGAGGAGGGCCAUGAGGAUGAUCAGAGGGCUGGAGCACCUCUCCUGUGAAGAGACCUCUCCUACAGGCUGAGGUAAUUGGGGUUGUUCACCCUGGAGAAGGCUCCAGAGAGACUUUGUAGCGGCCUUCCAGUACCUAAAGUGGCCUACGGAAAAGCUGUGGAGGAACUCUGUUAGGGAGUGUAGUGAUAGGACAAGGUUAUGGUAAUGGUUUUAAACUAAAAAAUGUAAUAUUUAGAUUAGGAAGAAAUUCUUCACUCAGAGGGUGGUGAAGCACUGGCGCAGGCUGCCCAGAGAGGCUGUGGAUGCCCCAUCCCUGGAGGUGCUCAAGGCCAGGCUGGAUGGGGCUUUGGGCAGCCUGGUCUGGCGGGAGGUGUCCCUGCCCAUGGCAGGGGGGUUGGAACGAGAUGAUCUAAGGUCCCUUCCAACCCAAACUAUUCAGUGAUUCUGUGAUUCCGUGACGCUGUAGUGACUGAAUUAUAUAGCCAUAACCUUUGGUGUGUCAGUAGGUAGCUUCUCAGCCCCUUAGCAUUCUGGAUUCAAGAAUAGAUCUCUGGCACAUUGCUUUGUGUCACGGCAUAGGCGCUCCUGUUAUUAAUCUGUAAUUACAUAACCAACACCUAGCAAAGACCACUUAUUUCUGGUGAUUACACAGUAAUUACACUCUAUUGAUUCCAAAUUGGUAAUUGUUAAUAGUUCCUUGCAACACUUACAAAAUAAUACAAUAUUCUGUAAUUUAGUAGUGAUUAGAAUGUACGCUUAGGGUCAGUUAGUGCUGCUGCUCACUUGCUCUUUGGCUCACUAAAUGAAGUGAUUAUGACUAUAUUUAGUAUCCUCUGGCUUUUAGGAUUCAUUGUGAUGGAAUUUGAUUUCAUUUUCCUUAAAAUAAUUACUGGGAAUUACAUUGUGUUUG